This 643-nucleotide long non-coding RNA is filed under the name Hordeum vulgare. RNAcentral's name for it is "long non-coding RNA (HVUL_LNC005745)". The record is from RNAcentral. Lineage: Eukaryota; Viridiplantae; Streptophyta; Magnoliopsida; Poales; Poaceae.
UGCAUCACUGCGGCUUUUCAUUUUUACGAAUGAAGGCUCAAAAAAAGUCCCUCUUUGAAUUAAUAAAGCCGUCAACCGGUCAAGAAACGCACGACUUACAGAAACGGAAAAACAAGAGACGACAAAGAUACAAAGUGCCAGAAUAAUUUACAAUCUAACAAUGGAGCAGGCAAACAAAAAAUAAAAAGAGGAGUCCAACCUACUACACCAGGGCCUAACAUUUAGGGCCGCAUCCACAUUAUUACCGGGGUGAAAACAACGAGCAACACGAGCUUCGGUAACCACCAACUCUUCGCCUGCUCAUCAAAUAAACCAGCCAAUAAACCAUCCGAAUUUGGUAACCACCAACUCUUCGCCUGCUCAUCAAAUAAACCAUCCGAAUUUACCAUCGAAGAGGAACCCAAUCAUUUCGCCCACGCUGAGGGUGCCGUACCACUGGAAGGCAAAGAGCUCAUCCUAGAGCCGCUUGGACAAUGUCAACCGAGCAUCCCGGGCUUGAGGGACCAAUGAGCAAACCACCACCGCAGGGCUCCCAUGACCUCAUCGUCAACAAGAGCCAACCACAUCACUAAAUGCAAGUUGAACGGUGUCACACGACGAACAUUGGCGGUAGAAAAUAUGAAAUCGCUGCACACACUGCCAC